GUGAUAAAAAGUGUUUGAAAACAUAGCAACCACUUCUGGACCUAUGGCCGGUUUAUCUAUGAAAAUACGGACAGUCAAACAGGAAAUAGUUCCAGGAUUAUAAUUUAGUACGCCAGACACGCGUUUCGUCUACAUAAGACUCAUCAGUGACGCUCAUAUCAAAAUAGUUAUAAAGCCAAACAAGUACAAAGUUGAAGAGCAUUGAG
RNAcentral lists this long non-coding RNA (206 nucleotides) under Mytilus galloprovincialis (Mediterranean mussel). The record is from RNAcentral. Lineage: Eukaryota; Metazoa; Mollusca; Bivalvia; Mytilida; Mytilidae.